Molecule: non-coding RNA, 68 nt
Organism: Arabis alpina (gray rockcress)
Lineage: Eukaryota; Viridiplantae; Streptophyta; Magnoliopsida; Brassicales; Brassicaceae
Source: Rfam
UUUGAUAACCGGAGUUAGAUGCGCCAUAUAUGACAGAUUUUUGUGAUUACUGAGGGCUCUUUGUAUUC